AGAUAAUCCUGAAGCAGUUGCAGAGAUACUCAAGGUUUUGCUCUGGAGAUCCCUGAUCUUAGUGCAUCUUAUCUCUAAAGCUUGCUCUGGGCAUGACAGGAGCAGGCAGAGAUGGGUUGCUCUAGCCAGGUGUGAGUUACGUGAUACCUAACCAGUGCUAAGGAUGUUAAUUUGAACUGCUCAUCCAAUUUUAGUCCCUCAGUCUCAUCCACCAUACUGCAGAUGACAUACAAAGAUCAAUAACCUGCAAGAAAACCUUUCCCAGGUGGAACAAAUUGCAGUCACUUCAUCCCAAACACCUGCACUGAUCUUCAGAGAGGACUGAUAGCAGAGAUUUGCUGUUUCUUAUGCUGUCAGAAGGUGUUUCUGUAACUCUGUCCAAGCAGUGACAGGAUGGGUCUGUGUGGGGCUAUGCUGAUUCUGCCUGUGUUUUCUUUAUUAAUCAAGGGGACAGAGUAUGCAGCCACUGAACAGGUUUGGCAGAGGAUAAAAGCAAGCUGGCUGGGAAGGCCCACUGAAAAAUUGACUUCAUCGCAGAAAAGGAUUGUUGAAGAGAAAUUCUGUUUGCUGGCUUUCACAAGAAUGGUUGGUGGAUGGUCGGAAAAUAAAGGAAUACAUAUGAGACAAGGGCAGAAAGGUGCUAUCAGAAGUAGGUGAGAAAAGGGGAUGUCCACAUCGAGCUGGCCUGGCAACGUCACCUGUAUGAAUGCGGCCAGGGUCAGACUAUAUGUUCCUUUACCAUCUUACUGCAGCACCCGUGAGAUGUGGGACUACUUCUUGCUGCUAGCUGGUGGGUGAACACCAUCACCCCCUUGCUCUUGUGAUUUGCAGUUUUGCCUGACAGUCCUGGUUUGCAGCAGAGCAAGCAGGCACCGCAGGGCUUGUGGGAGUUCUGCAAAAGUUGAAAAGCUCAGCACCUGGCUUCCAAAGCAAACACUAGAACUUUACUCCCGCUUUCUGCUCCUGCCUUUAAUAAUGAGUUAGCAAGGAGGAAGCUGGCGAAGCUGUGACCGGGAUCACUUUAAGGCCAAACCCCAGCUUCUCACUGAGAGCUCGCGUUCCAGAGCUGCUACCCCUCCGAGCCAGGGCUGCUAGCGCCACCUGGUGACACCCUCAGCCCAGUCCCGUACAGCUUUCUGCUCUUCGACCCUUCCCUGGAAGUUCAGAUCUUCCACCGGAGCAGACGGUCUGUCUGACUGCGCCCACCGCGCGCCCGCUCCGGUGGCGUUCGCUCGGGCACCCGCUAUGGUUCCCGGUCGGAGCCGGUCUGUGCUGCAGGUGGCCUGAGGGGUCCGAUUGAAUCCCAGCCACCCCCUCCUCCCUGCAGCUCUGGCGCUGUCUCCUGGCAGCCUCCUGUUGCCGCAGCCCCAGCGGGAUCUGUCAUCUCUGUUAGGAGCAGGGCCGUGUCACUGUAGGGCUGACGGUGGUUCUUAUGGUGGCUGGUACCACCCUCCCGUACGUGUCACCAGUUCAGCUGGUAUAAAAAAGAGGGUACAUGCUCUCUGUGGGAUGCUGGUGAGGCACCCUCUCCCAGGCAGCUGAGGCAGAUGUGCUGUUUGGCACUGACUGAUUCCCGCUCUGCUAGCUCACAGCUCCAGCUGGGGCAGGCUACCUCCACAGCUCCAGCCGAUAAGCACU
This 1638-nucleotide long non-coding RNA is filed under the name Pavo cristatus (Indian peafowl). RNAcentral's name for it is "lncRNA (ENSPSTG00000000287.1)". The record is from RNAcentral. Lineage: Eukaryota; Metazoa; Chordata; Aves; Galliformes; Phasianidae.